This 705-nucleotide ribosomal RNA is filed under the name Nostoc sp. 62.1. RNAcentral describes it as "bacterial SSU rRNA". It matches the Rfam family "Bacterial small subunit ribosomal RNA", at positions 38 to 785 of the family's 1533-position model. Lineage: Bacteria; Bacillati; Cyanobacteriota; Cyanophyceae; Nostocales; Nostocaceae. The record is from RNAcentral.
GGCGGUAUGCUUAACACAUGCAAGUCGAACGGUGUCUUCGGACACAGUGGCGGACGGGUGAGUAACGCGUGAGAAUCUGGCUCUAGGUCUGGGACAACCACUGGAAACGGUGGCUAAUACCGGAUGUGCCCUGUGGGGUGAAAGGCUUGCUGCCUAGAGAUGAGCUCGCGUCUGAUUAGCUAGUUGGAAGUGUAAUGGACUCCCAAGGCGACGAUCAGUAGCUGGUCUGAGAGGACGAUCAGCCACACUGGGACUGAGACACGGCCCAGACUCCUACGGGAGGCAGCAGUGGGGAAUUUUCCGCAAUGGGCGAAAGCCUGACGGAGCAAUACCGCGUGAGGGAGGAAGGCUCUUGGGUCGUAAACCUCUUUUCUUAGGGAAGAACACAAUGACGGUACCUGAGGAAUAAGCAUCGGCUAACUCCGUGCCAGCAGCCGCGGUAAUACGGAGGAUGCAAGCGUUAUCCGGAAUGAUUGGGCGUAAAGCGUCCGCAGGUGGCAAUGAAAGUCUGCUGUUAAAGAGUCUAGCUCAACUAGAUAGAAGCAGUGGAAACUACAUAGCUAGAGUACGUUCGGGGCAGAGGGAAUUCCUGGUGUAGCGGUGAAAUGCGUAGAGAUCAGGAAGAACACCAGUGGCGAAGGCGCUCUGCUAGGCCGUAACUGACACUGAGGGACGAAAGCUAGGGGAGCGAAUGGGAUUAGAUAC